RNAcentral lists this ribosomal RNA (694 nucleotides) under uncultured bacterium. RNAcentral's name for it is "bacterial SSU rRNA". It matches the Rfam family "Bacterial small subunit ribosomal RNA", at positions 126 to 807 of the family's 1533-position model. The record is from RNAcentral.
CUGCCCAAAAGAGGGGGAUAACACUUGGAAACAGGUGCUAAUACCGCAUAACCAUAGUUACCGCAUGGUAACUAUGUAAAAGGUGGCUAUGCUACCGCUUUUGGAUGGGCCCGCGGCGCAUUAGCUAGUUGGUGGGGUAUAGGCUUACCAAGGCAAUGAUGCGUAGCCGAACUGAGAGGUUGAUCGGCCACAUUGGGACUGAGACACGGCCCAAACUCCUACGGGAGGCAGCAGUAGGGAAUCUUCCACAAUGGGCGAAAGCCUGAUGGAGCAACGCCGCGUGGGUGAAGAAGGUCUUCGGAUCGUAAAACCCUGUUGUUAGAGAAGAAAGUGCGUGAGAGUAACUGUUCACGUUUCGACGGUAUCUAACCAGAAAGCCACGGCUAACUACGUGCCAGCAGCCGCGGUAAUACGUAGGUGGCAAGCGUUAUCCGGAUUUAUUGGGCGUAAAGGGAACGCAGGCGGUCUUUUAAGUCUGAUGUGAAAGCCUUCGGCUUAACCGGAGUAGUGCAUUGGAAACUGGGAGACUUGAGUGCAGAAGAGGAGAGUGGAACUCCAUGUGUAGCGGUGAAAUGCGUAGAUAUAUGGAAGAACACCAGUGGCGAAAGCGGCUCUCUGGUCUGUAACUGACGCUGAGGUUCGAAAGCGUGGGUAGCAAACAGGAUUAGAUACCCUGGUAGUCCACGCCGUAAAC